Molecule: long non-coding RNA, 2341 nt
Organism: Tripterygium wilfordii
Lineage: Eukaryota; Viridiplantae; Streptophyta; Magnoliopsida; Celastrales; Celastraceae
Exons: 2
Source: RefSeq, a predicted model, not a curated record
GUAGCCGCCGAGGGGUAGGGUUUCUCAUAAUGUUUGAUUUGCAAUUUUAGGGUUCUAUUUCGAUUUGAAUCCAAUCUCUUCUUGAGUUGAAAGCGCAGCCCUUAAGAUCGCCUUCCACAGGAAAACAUGGAAGCGUUUUGAGUCAUAGCUGCGCAAUAUCAAGCUAUAACCAUAUUGGGGGUCUUGUUAGGGUUUCCCUUUCGAGUUCCCCUUAUUGUCUCACCUGAAGUUUCUUAAUGAGACAAUAUCUCUCUGCUAUUUCCACGUUUUUUUUGGACGCCUAGGUAUGUAGUUUCAUAAGCUGCUAUAUCUACGGUUGUUUCCACUAAACGGGAAUUUGCAGGUCCAUUGUUGUCUCAAAUUCUGGUGGGAAACAGUUUCAUAUUACUAUUUGGAAUUUGCUUAUAUUUCUGCUAUUGUAAUGUUGUGCUUCCCAGCAAAUGGGUAAUCCAUGACUUGCCCGUUCGUUUCUUACUUCAGUUGUCUUUGAUUUUGCUUUUCAUUAGUUUUUGUCAUCUGUUUUAGGGAACGUAUGAGUAUUUUAUGGAUGGCUGAUUUGUUGGUACGAAUUGCCUUACAACGGUUUUGCUCAUCUUUUACCGAAAACAUAGUUUCAGACCUUUUGUUUUGGUGGUUAGAUAACUCAAGGUCGAUGAUGAUAAACUUUUAAGGCUUGUUUCUCAAGACAUUCGCAGUGGCCGCCUGAGAACUUUCGCCUUCGCCAGGCUUGAGAGUUUGUGCUGCUAUAAUCCUUCCUUGGAUGUCUGAGGCCUUGUUCUAACCACUCGUAGCAUUGUUGUAUAAUGUCAUGCCGCAUAGUUUGUCUAUGUGAAUGAAUCUUUGGAGGCAAAUAUAGUGUCUGACUUUCCCAUGUGUUAAUUUGCAGUUUUAUUUUAUUUUUAUAAUUGUCUGUGAAAACAUACAAGAUUAUUCGUUAGUCAGUUGCCUCUUGAGAAUGUUUUAACUUGACAAGUUAGCUCAGGUCUUCAGUUUGUACUGAUAAUUGAUUUUGCCAUCCUUAUAGCACAUUCCACAAAAUAUAUAUUAAGUGUUAAUUUUUUUUGGGAUGAUUUUGGUGGCUGGUUAGAGAUAGAAGUAAAUUCAAAGGAUUGUUUAUAAAGACAUUUGCAGUGGCCCUGAGAACUUUUGCCUUGGCCAGGCUUGAGAGUUAAUAAUGUGAUAACCCUUCCUUGGAUGUCUGAGGCCUUAUUCUAACGACUUCUAUCAUCAUUUAAUAAUUGUAUGCCUCAUAAUUAGUGAUAUGUGGAUGCAUUUUUGAAGGCAAAUCAACUGUCUUACUUUCCCAUAUGUUAAUAUGCAGUUUUUUAGCUUUUCAAAUGCGGUAUGUUUGUCUGUGAAAAGUGAGAACAUAGCAUGAUUAUUUGUUAUUUGGUGGCUGAUUACGAAUGUUAGGGGCAUGACAAGUUUGCUAAGGUGUUCAAUUCGUAUUGAUAAUUGAUGUUUGUAUUUAAAGAGUAGUGAUUUUUUGGGUGAAUUUUUGUGGUUGGUUGGAGGAGAUAAGGUUGAUGAUGAUAAAUUCAAAGGCUUGUUUCUCAAGACAUUCGCAGUGGCCGCCUGAGAACUUUCGCCUUCGCCAGGCUUGAGAGUUAAUGUUGCAAUAAUCCUUCCUUAGAUGUCUGAGACCUUAUUCUAACCACUUCUAACAUGACUUUAUAAUCAUAUGCUGCACAGUUAGUGAUAUGUGGACACAUUUUUGGAUGCAAAUCAACUGUUUUGACUUUCCCAUAUGUUAAAUGUGGUUGCUCCUCGUUGCCCCCUUUCUCGUAAUUCUAACUAGAUGCGCAAGAGAUUUUCACCUUAAUUUGGUGGUUGGUGGUCAUAGAGCUCUGGUGAAUCUUCUCUUGAUUUUCUGAAAUUUGUUUUUGAAAGUUUGGUGUUGUAAUAGGUAUCAUUCUAAUUCUUUAUUCGUUUUGGUUGUGGAAUUUGAAUUGGAAAGGAGAGGUGGUUUGCUACUUAGGACUCUUGCUAGUAUGAUGGCAUGUAUGGUUUAUUUUGAGCAUUCAUAUGAUGUUGUUUUUUCUACCCAAUAUUUGUUUGUUUGUUUAUGCUUUGUACAAGUUUGACAACCCUGAUCUCUGGUUCAUAGCAGGUGCGGCUGAACGAUGUGGAAACAGGGCCAUUUCAUGUUCUCUUUUAUGGUUUUGGUUUUUGUACAACGAUCACAUUCACCUAUUGUAUGAAUCGGCUAUUCCCAUGGAUAUGGUAAUAGGAUUACCUCUCUGUGCGACAGCAGGGAUUCAUGUUUUUAACAGUUGAUUUGAGACAAUGGACAAUUCAUUCUCUUAUUUUGAAAUUUUUUUGUCCAUUCAUCGUUUGGAUU